ACUGCUCAGUAACACGUAGUCAACAUGCCCAGGGGACGUGGAUAACCUCGGGAAACUGAGGAUAAACCACGAUAAGUCACUACUUCUGGAAUGGGUAAUGACUCAAAUCUACAUGGCCCCUGGAUUGGACUGCGGCCGAUCAGGCUGUUGGUGAGGUAAUGGCCCACCAAACCCGUAACCGGUACGGGCUCUGAGAGGAGGAGCCCGGAGAUGGGCACUGAGACAAGGGCCCAGGCCCUAUGGGGCGCAGCAGGCGCGAAACCUCUGCAAUAGGCGAAAGCCUGACAGGGUUACUCUGAGUGAUUUCCGUUAAGGAGAUCUUUUGGCACCUCUAAAAAUGGUGCAGAAUAAGGGGUGGGCAAGUCUGGUGUCAGCCGCCGCGGUAAUACCAGCACCCCGAGUGGUCGGGACGUUUAUUGGGCCUAAAGCAUCCGUAGCCGGUUCUACAAGUCUUCCGUUAAAUCCACCUGCUUAACAGAUGGGCUGCGGAAGAUACUAUAGAGCUAGGAGGCGGGAGAGGCAAGCGGUACUCGAUGGGUAGGGGUAAAAUCCGUUGAUCCAUUGAAGACCACCAGUGGCGAAGGCGGCUUGCCAGAACGCGCUCGACGGUGAGGGAUGAAAGCUGGGGGAGCAAACCGGAUUAGAUACCCGGGUAGUCCCAGCUGUAAACGAUGCAGACUCGGUGAUGAGUUGGCUUUAUGCCAACUCAGUGCCGCAGGGAAGCCGUUAAGUUUGCCGCCUGGGGAGUACGGUCGCAAGACUGAAACUUAAAGGAAUUGGCGGGGGAGCAC
RNAcentral lists this ribosomal RNA (791 nucleotides) under uncultured archaeon. RNAcentral's name for it is "bacterial SSU rRNA". It matches the Rfam family "Archaeal small subunit ribosomal RNA", at positions 85 to 879 of the family's 1478-position model. The record is from RNAcentral.